This 462-nucleotide ribosomal RNA is filed under the name uncultured bacterium. Its description in RNAcentral is "bacterial SSU rRNA". It matches the Rfam family "Bacterial small subunit ribosomal RNA", at positions 28 to 507 of the family's 1533-position model. The record is from RNAcentral.
GACGAACGCUGGCGGCGUGCUUAACACAUGCAAGUCGAACGGAUGGAACCCUUCGGGGUGAAGUCAGUGGCGGACGGGUGAGUAACGCGUGAGCAACUUGCCUUUCAGUGGGGAAUAACACAGGGAAACUUGUGCUAAUACCGCAUAACGUGCCGGGGAGACAUCUCUCUGGUACCAAAGGAGCAAUUCGCUGAAAGAUGGGCUCGCGUCCGAUUAGAUAGUUGGUGAGGUAACGGCCCACCAAGUCGACGAUCGGUAGCCGGACUGAGAGGUUGGCCGGCCACAUUGGAACUGAGAUACGGUCCAGACUCCUACGGGAGGCAGCAGUGGGGGAUAUUAGGCAAUGGGGGAAACCCUGACCUAGCAACGCCGCGUGAAGGAUGAAGGUUUUCGGAUUGUAAACUUCUUUGGCAGGGGACGAUAAUGACGGUACCCUGAGAACAAGCCACGGCUAACUACGUG